This 468-nucleotide ribosomal RNA is filed under the name uncultured bacterium. Its description in RNAcentral is "partial 16S ribosomal RNA". It matches the Rfam family "Bacterial small subunit ribosomal RNA", at positions 28 to 507 of the family's 1533-position model. The record is from RNAcentral.
GACGAACGCUGGCGGCGUGCUUAACACAUGCAAGUCGAACGGAAAGGCCCUGCUUUUGUGGGGUGCUCGAGUGGCGAACGGGUGAGUAACACGUGAGUAACCUGCCCUUGACUUUGGGAUAACUUCAGGAAACUGGGGCUAAUACCGGAUAGGAGCUCCUGCUGCAUGGAGGGGGUUGGAAAGUUUCGGCGGUUGGGGAUGGACUCGCGGCUUAUCAGCUUGUUGGUGGGGUAGUGGCUUACCAAGGCUUUGACGGGUAGCCGGCCGGAGAGGGUGACCGGCCACAUUGGGACUGAGAUACGGCGCAGACUGCUACGGGAGGCAGCGGUGGGGAAUAUUGCACAAUGGGCGGGAGCCUGAUGCAGCAACGCCGCGUGCGGGAUGACGGCCUUCGGGUUGUAAACCGCUUUCGCCUGUGACGAAGCGUGAGUGACGGUAAUGGGUAAAGAAGCACCGGCUAACUACGUG